RNAcentral lists this ribosomal RNA (447 nucleotides) under Triticum aestivum (bread wheat). RNAcentral describes it as "partial small subunit ribosomal RNA". Lineage: Eukaryota; Viridiplantae; Streptophyta; Magnoliopsida; Poales; Poaceae. The record is from RNAcentral.
AUGUGCAUCACAGCCCAUUAUAUCAAUGCAGAAUUCAACUACAAGAAGAAGAUCAUAAGUUUCACAGAAGUGAAGUAUCCCCACACAGGCAUAGUCCGUUGCUUAACAGAAUGGAGCAUAGGGGGAAAAUUAUUCAGUUUGACACUAGAUAAUGCCAACAAUAAUACUAAUGCAUGUGAGGAGUUAAUAAAAUAUCACAAACAUGAGGUCCUUGAAGGUCAACAUUUGCAUGUCAGGUGUUGUGUGCACAUUCUUAAUUUCUUGGUUCUGGAUGGAAUGAAAAUAAUCCAUGAAGCUAUUGAUAUUAUACGUAAGCUGCUGAAGUAUAUUGACUCUUCUACUUCAAGACUUCAAGAUUUCAAUACAAUUGCAAGUGGGAUGGGCCUAUCUUCAAAGAAAGGUAUCUCUGUUGAUACACCAACAAGAUGGAACUCAACCUGCUUGUAG